This 468-nucleotide ribosomal RNA is filed under the name uncultured bacterium. RNAcentral's name for it is "partial 16S ribosomal RNA". It matches the Rfam family "Bacterial small subunit ribosomal RNA", at positions 28 to 507 of the family's 1533-position model. The record is from RNAcentral.
GAUGAACGCUGGCGGCGUGCUUAACACAUGCAAGUCGAACGGUGAAGGCGGAGCUUGCUCUGCUGGAUCAGUGGCGAACGGGUGAGUAACACGUGAGCAAUCUGCCCCUGACUCUGGGAUAAGCGCUGGAAACGGCGUCUAAUACUGGAUACGAGCUGCGAAGGCAUCUUCAGCAGCUGGAAAGAAUUUCGGUCAGGGAUGAGCUCGCGGCCUAUCAGCUUGUUGGUGAGGUAAUGGCUGACCAAGGCGUCGACGGGUAGCCGGCCUGGGAGGGUGACCGGCCACAAUGGGACUGAGACACGGCCCAGACUCCUACGGGAGGCAGCAGGGGGGAAUAUUGCACAAUGGGCGAAAGCCUGAUGCAGCAACGCCGCGUGAGGGACGACGGCCUUCGGGUUGUAAACCUCUUUUAGCAGGGAAGAAGCGAAAGUGACGGUACCUGCAGAAAAAGCGCCGGCUAACUACGUG